This 892-nucleotide ribosomal RNA is filed under the name uncultured bacterium. Its description in RNAcentral is "bacterial SSU rRNA". It matches the Rfam family "Bacterial small subunit ribosomal RNA", at positions 505 to 1397 of the family's 1533-position model. The record is from RNAcentral.
GUGCCAGCCGCCGCGGUAAUACGUAGGUGGCAAGCGUUGUCCGGAUUUAUUGGGCGUAAAGCGAGCGCAGGCGGUUUCUUAAGUCUGAUGUGAAAGCCUUCGGCUCAACCGAAGAAGUGCAUCGGAAACUGGGAAACUUGAGUGCAGAAGAGGACAGUGGAACUCCAUGUGUAGCGGUGAAAUGCGUAGAUAUAUGGAAGAACACCAGUGGCGAAGGCGGCUGUCUGGUCUGUAACUGACGCUGAGGCUCGAAAGCAUGGGUAGCAAACAGGAUUAGAUACCCUGGUAGUCCAUGCCGUAAACGAUGAGUGCUAGGUGUUGGAGGGUUUCCGCCCUUCAGUACCGCAGCUAACGCAUUAAGCACUCCGCCUGGGGAGUACGACCGCAAGGUUGAAACUCAAAGGAAUUGACGGGGGCCCGCACAAGCGGUGGAGCAUGUGGUUUAAUUCGAAGCAACGCGAAGAACCUUACCAGGUCUUGACAUCCUUUGACCACUCUAGAGAUAGAGCUUUCCCUUCGGGGACAAAGUGACAGGUGGUGCAUGGUUGUCGUCAGCUCGUGUCGUGAGAUGUCGGGUUAAGUCCCGCAACGAGCGCAACCCUUAUUACUAGUUGCCAGCAUUUAGUUGGGCACUCUAGUGAGACUGCCGGUGACAAACCGGAGGAAGGUGGGGACGACGUCAAAUCAUCAUGCCCCUUAUGACCUGGGCUACACACGUGCUACAAUGGAUGGUACAACGAGUCGCGAGACCGCGAGGUUUAGCUAAUCUCUUAAAACCAUUCUCAGUUCGGAUUGUAGGCUGCAACUCGCCUACAUGAAGCCGGAAUCGCUAGUAAUCGCGGAUCAGCAUGCCGCGGUGAAUACGUUCCCGGGCCUUGUACACACCGCCCGU